UUGUUGCGGUUAAAAAGCUCGUAGUUGGAUUUCUGUCGAAAACAACCGGUCCGCUCUAUGAGCGUGUAUCUGGUCUGGUUUUGGCAUCCUCGUGGGGAACAGCUCUGUGCUUGAUUGCAUGGACUAGUAUUCACGACUUUUACUUUGAGGAAAUUAGAGUGUUCACGGCAGGCAAGCGCCUUGAAUACAUUAGCAUGGAAUAAUAAUAUAGGACUUUGGUUCUAUUUUGUUGGUUUCUAGAACUAAAGUAACGAUUUAAUAG
Molecule: ribosomal RNA, 262 nt
Filed under: uncultured marine eukaryote
Lineage: Eukaryota
Description: partial 18S ribosomal RNA
Rfam family: Eukaryotic small subunit ribosomal RNA
Source: RNAcentral